This 73-nucleotide transfer RNA is filed under the name Ursus americanus (American black bear). It matches the Rfam family "tRNA". From Rfam's summary of the family: Transfer RNA (tRNA) molecules are approximately 80 nucleotides in length. Their secondary structure includes four short double-helical elements and three loops (D, anti-codon, and T loops). RNAcentral also lists the same sequence under 2 other names. Lineage: Eukaryota; Metazoa; Chordata; Mammalia; Carnivora; Ursidae. The record is from Rfam by way of RNAcentral.
GCCUGCCUGGCCCAGUCAGUAGAGCAUGUGACUUUUGAUCUCAGGGUCAUGAGUUCAAGCCCCAUGUUAAGUG